Molecule: ribosomal RNA, 766 nt
Filed under: uncultured bacterium
Lineage: Bacteria
Description: bacterial SSU rRNA
Rfam family: Bacterial small subunit ribosomal RNA
Source: RNAcentral
UGUAGUCGAGGGGGCAGCAAUGUCACCGGCGAACGGGUGCGUAACGCGUAUGCAACCUGGCCAUAUCAGGGGGAUAGCCCUAGGAAACUGGGAUUAAUACCGCAUAAUACAGAGACCGGCAUCGAUCUCUGUUGAAAGAUUUAUUGGAUAUGGAUGGGCAUGCGUAGGAUUAGUUAGUUGGUGGGGUAACGGCUCACCAAGGCGAUGAUCCUUAGAGGCUCUGAGAGGAGUAUCCCCCACACUGGCACUGAGAUACGGGCCAGACUCCUACGGGAGGCAGCAGUAGGGAAUAUUGGGCAAUGGAGGCAACUCUGACCCAGCCAUGCCGCGUGCAGGAAGACGGUCCUCUGGAUUGUAAACUGCUUUUGAAUGGGAAGAACCGCACUUUUGCGAAAGUGUUUGACGGUACUAUUAGAAUAAGCACCGGCUAACUCCGUGCCAGCAGCCGCGGUAAUACGGAGGGUGCAAGCGUUAUCCGGAUUUAUUGGGUUUAAAGGGUGCGUAGGCGGCUUUAUAAGUCUUGGGUUAAGGGCAGCAGCUUAACUGUAUGCAUGCCCCAGAUACUGUAGAGCUUGAGUGACCUGGAGGUAGCUGGAAUUCCCUGUGUAGCGGUGAAAUGCAUAGAUACGGGGAGGAAUACCGAUUGCGAAGGCAUGUUACUACGGGUAAACUGACGCUGAUGCACGAAAGCGUGGGGGAUCAAACAGGAUUAGAUACCCUGGUAGUCCACGCCGUAAACGAUGAUUACUAGUUGUUGGACGCUAGU